Alligator sinensis (Chinese alligator) is the source of this 391-nucleotide long non-coding RNA. RefSeq lists it as uncharacterized. The record is from RefSeq and is a predicted model, not a curated record. The transcript has 3 exons. Lineage: Eukaryota; Metazoa; Chordata; Crocodylia; Alligatoridae.
CUGCUGAGAAGAAUUGCCCAAAGAUGUUGUGGCCACCUGAUAUGCUGCAUAUAGGGCUAAUGGGGCUCCAGGAGCUCACCAGGUACCACCGUAUCCUGGGUGGUUGUUCUAGCCUGACUCACCACUUGAAAAGAAAUAUAAGAAAAGUUUUACUUUGCACUGUAGGACUCAGUCAUCUCUUCUGUUUCUUGAAGUCACACUGGCUCCCAGAUCACGUUCCCAACAAUGAAUCCUUUGUCAGCAUCUCCUGUUUCAUCGCAGUUCUCCAACUUCCCCAGCCAGCUAUCAUUCCACUCCCCUUCGCCCCUGCAUUCCCAAUUGGCUCUUCUCUCAUUCCGACAUACCCUGCCUCCUUCCCUGUUUUCAUCUGGAGGUCUUCUACUGUCUCUUU